AUGAGAAGUAUGGAGACAUUUAAUAAAAGGAGUGAGAUGCGUGUGCAUUGGGAUUUUGUACAUGUGGAAGGAGAAGAGAAAAAAGGUUUGAUGAGAGAGCUCAAAAGAACAUGGACUAGAGGGGAAUCUUGUGGGCUGAGGGAAUUUCUGGAUUCAGGGCUCUGCGGACCCCGGAAGGUUCAAACUCUUCAGCGUGUGCAAAUAUCUCAACCUCUCAAGCCUCAAGCUCAUCGCCGUAUAGCCUAUCCUUGCUGGAUACGCACUCAAACGGGGAAGAAGAUGGACAUGAUAGUUUACCCAGGUUCGGGCCACCUUCCAGUGUAA
This 324-nucleotide ribosomal RNA is filed under the name Triticum aestivum (bread wheat). RNAcentral describes it as "partial small subunit ribosomal RNA". Lineage: Eukaryota; Viridiplantae; Streptophyta; Magnoliopsida; Poales; Poaceae. The record is from RNAcentral.